This 253-nucleotide ribosomal RNA is filed under the name uncultured bacterium. Its description in RNAcentral is "partial 16S ribosomal RNA". It matches the Rfam family "Bacterial small subunit ribosomal RNA", at positions 524 to 776 of the family's 1533-position model. The record is from RNAcentral.
UACGUAGGGGGCAAGCGUUGUCCGGAAUUAUUGGGCGUAAAGAGCGCGUAGGCGGUCCGAUAAGUCGGCUGUGAAAGUCAAGGGCUCAACCCUUGGAAGCCGGCCGAUACUGUCGGACUAGAGUCCGGAAGAGGCGAGUGGAAUUCCCGGUGUAGCGGUGAAAUGCGCAGAUAUCGGGAGGAACACCAAUUGCGAAGGCAGCUCGCUGGGACGGUACUGACGCUGAUGCGCGAAAGCGUGGGGAGCAAACAGG